This 253-nucleotide ribosomal RNA is filed under the name uncultured bacterium. RNAcentral describes it as "partial 16S ribosomal RNA". It matches the Rfam family "Bacterial small subunit ribosomal RNA", at positions 524 to 776 of the family's 1533-position model. The record is from RNAcentral.
UACGAAGGGGGCGAGUGUUGUUCGGAAUUACUGGGCGUAAAGGGCGCGCAGGCGGCUCUGAAAGUCAGAUGUGAAAGCCCCGGGCUUAACCUGGGAAUUGCAUUUGAUACUCUGGAGCUUGAGUACGGGAGAGGAGAGUGGAAUUCCCAGUGUAGAGGUGAAAUUCGUAGAUAUUGGGAAGAACACCGGUGGCGAAGGCGGCUCUCUGGACCGUAACUGACGCUGAGGCGCGAAAGCGUGGGGAGCAAACAGG